Molecule: ribosomal RNA, 491 nt
Filed under: uncultured bacterium
Lineage: Bacteria
Description: partial 16S ribosomal RNA
Rfam family: Bacterial small subunit ribosomal RNA
Source: RNAcentral
AGUGAACGCUGGCGGUAGGCCUAACACAUGCAAGUCGAACGGCAGCACAGUAAGAGCUUGCUCUUACGGGUGGCGAGUGGCGGACGGGUGAGGAAUACAUCGGAAUCUACUUUUUCGUGGGGGAUAACGUAGGGAAACUUACGCUAAUACCGCAUACGACCUACGGGUGAAAGCAGGGGAUCUUCGGACCUUGCGCGAUUGAAUGAGCCGAUGUCGGAUUAGCUAGUUGGCGGGGUAAAGGCCCACCAAGGCGACGAUCCGUAGCUGGUCUGAGAGGAUGAGCCGCCACAGUGAACGUGAGACACGGCCGAAACCCCUAGGGGGGGCAGGGGGGGGAAAUUUGGGAAAAGGGGCGAAAGCCUAACCCACCCAAACCGGGUGGGUAAAAAGGGCCUUGGGGUUGAAAACCCCUUUUGUGGGAAAAAAAAAGGAGAGGGUUAAAACCCCGCUUUUCUGACGGACCCCAAAAAAAAAGCACCGGCAACUUUGGG